Molecule: ribosomal RNA, 475 nt
Filed under: Pirateolea piscator
Lineage: Eukaryota; Metazoa; Arthropoda; Insecta; Lepidoptera; Noctuidae
Description: partial 16S large subunit ribosomal RNA
Source: RNAcentral
UGUCUUUUUGAAAUUAAUAUAAAGUUUGAUCUGCCCACUGAUUAAUAAUUGAAGGGCUGCAGUAUAUUGACUGUACAAAGGUAGCAUAAUCAUUAGUCAUUUAAUUGAUGACUUGUAUGAAGGAUUGGAUGAAAUAUAAUCUGUCUCUUAAUUAAUAAUAGAAUUUAAUUUUUUAAUUAAAAAGUUAAGAUGGUUUAAAAAGACGAGAAGACCCUAUAGAGUUUAAUAAAUAAAUUAUUUGAUAUUAUUUAUAAUUAUAAAAUUGAAAUUAAUUUAUUUAUUUUGUUGGGGUGAUAAAAAAAUAUAAAAAACUUUUUUUUUUAGUUAACAUUUAUAAGUGAUUAAAUGAUCCAAUAUUAUUGAUUAUAAGAAUAAAUUACCUUAGGGAUAACAGCGUAAUUUUUUUUUUUAGUUCAUAUAAGAAAAAGAGUUUGCGACCUCGAUGUUGGAUUAAGAUAAAAUUUAAAUGCAGAAG